CAAACUCUCAUCUCUCUCUCUACUUAACCAGCCAAAACAACUCUCUCUCAUCCUUAUUCUCUCUCUAGUUUCCCCAAAACUACCCAUCUCUGUUUCCCUCUCCCCCUUUUUAACCGCCCUCUCUCUCUCUGUCUCUCUGUCUAAUGCCCUCUCUCUCCCAUUCUCUCUCUCUGUCUAACCGCCCUCUCUCUCUACCUUCCCCAAACUUCUUCCCCAAACUUCUCUCUCAUCCCGAACUCAUGAUCUCGAUGCCCUAGAACUGGGCGGUUUUAAAGAUUGAAUCUGUUUCAGAGCUCAGUGAACCUAGGUUUCGGCGAAUUUGAAGACUGAAACUACGGUUUGACGAGGAUUAAAGGUUUUUGGAGAUAAAGUUCAUAACACAACGUGCUUUGUGAUUUUGGCAAGAGCUUUGUGGUUUUGGAGAUUGAAACUGCGGUUUUGGCAAGGCAAUAACGCCAGGUUGAAAUUGCACCAUUUUGUAUGAUUGUUGGAGUUUUUUUGGGCUUUGUUCUAUGAAUUUUCAUAUGCUCAAUGAUUUUUUCUAAGAUUCUACAUAUUUUUUUUCUUAAUUUUAUAAUGGGAUUUGUAGUUAUUGAGUUUAUUCGAAUGCCUAUUUUGUGAAAUGUGAAAUGCAAGCAGAUUGUCUGAAA
Amborella trichopoda is the source of this 650-nucleotide long non-coding RNA. RefSeq lists it as uncharacterized. NCBI's taxonomy places the organism in Eukaryota, Viridiplantae, Streptophyta, Magnoliopsida, Amborellales, Amborellaceae. The record is from RefSeq and is a predicted model, not a curated record.